ACAUUGGUGAUUUAUAACGUUGGUAUCGUACUACUUAUCCAAGGAACAAAAGAUAAGCUCAUAAGAUUGAUUAGUUGAACAUAUCUGCUAGAUGAUUGUAUUUUUUACACGGCCUGAUUUGAAGAGAGAGAGUAAUAAACAAAUACCGAGAUCAUUCCUUGUAUACCUUGCCGAUGGAGGAUUGAGAGGUCGGCCAUGUCUCUGAAUUAAGAAGCCCUUAACCGCCUCACUGAGUCUGAUACAUAACAUUCUCACAGCCAUGAGUUUGAUUCGUAACACAUGAUUGACACCAUCCGAAUUAAGAAGUCCUUACAUCUAGUCAAGCAGCAACAGAUCAAGAAACAUCUCCAUUAUCUUCGAAAUAUUGGUCGAGACACAAUAAAGAUCUUUUGUUGGGUAUGAAAUUACAACUAAUCU
RNAcentral lists this long non-coding RNA (417 nucleotides) under Capsella rubella. Its description in RNAcentral is "long non-coding RNA (CRUB_LNC003349)". Lineage: Eukaryota; Viridiplantae; Streptophyta; Magnoliopsida; Brassicales; Brassicaceae. The record is from RNAcentral.